UACGUGCAGUCGAGCGAAUGGAUUAAGAGCUUGCUCUUGUGAAGUUAGCGGCGGACGGGUGAGUAACACGUGGGUAACCUGCCCAUAAGACUGGGAUAACUCCGGGAAACCGGGGCUAAUACCGGAUAACAUUUUGAACCGCAUGGUUCGAAAUUGAAAGGCGGCUUCGGCUGUCACUUAUGGAUGGACCCGCGUCGCAUUAGCUAGUUGGUGAGGUAACGGCUCACCAAGGCAACGAUGCGUACCCCACCUGAGAGGGUGAUCGGCCACACUGGGACUGAGACACGGCCCAGACUCCUACGGGAGGCAGCAGUAGGGAAUCUUCCGCAAUGGACGAAAGUCUGACGGAGCAACGCCGCGUGAGUGAUGAAGGCUUUCGGGUCGUAAAACUCUGUUGUUAGGGAAGAACAAGUGCUAGUUGAAUAAGCUGGCACCUUGACGGUACCUAACCAGAAAGCCACGGCUAACUACGUGCCAGCAGCCGCGGUAAUACGUAGGUGGCAAGCGUUAUCCGGAAUUAUUGGGCGUAAAGCGCGCGCAGGUGGUUUCUUAAGUCUGAUGUGAAAGCCCACGGCUCAACCGUGGAGGGUCAUUGGAAACUGGGAGACUUGAGUGCAGAAGAAGAAAGUGGAAUUCCAUGUGUAGCGGUGAAAUGCGUAGAGAUGUGGAGGAACACCAGUGGCGAACGCGACUUUCUGGUCUGUAACUGACACUGAAGCGCGAAAGCGUGGGGAGCAAACAAGAUUAGAUACCCUGGUAGUCCACGCCGUACACGAUGAGUGCUAAGUGUUAGAGGGUUUCCGCCCUUUAGUGCUGAAGUUAACGCAUUAAGCACUCCGCCUGGAGAGUACGGCCGCAAGGCUGAAACUCAAAGGAAUUGACGGGGGCCCGCACAAGCGGUGGAACAUGUGGUUUUAAUUCAAAGCAACGCGAAGAACCUUACCAGGUCUUGACAUCCUCUGACAACCCUAGAAAUA
Molecule: ribosomal RNA, 977 nt
Filed under: Bacillus cereus
Lineage: Bacteria; Bacillati; Bacillota; Bacilli; Caryophanales; Bacillaceae
Description: bacterial SSU rRNA
Rfam family: Bacterial small subunit ribosomal RNA
Source: RNAcentral